Molecule: non-coding RNA, 87 nt
Organism: Marasmius oreades (fairy-ring Marasmius)
Lineage: Eukaryota; Fungi; Basidiomycota; Agaricomycetes; Agaricales; Marasmiaceae
Source: the annotation of a RefSeq genome assembly
GCCCUACUAGUAUAUCGGUUAGUACACGCGCCUGUCAUCGUUGUUUCAAACGCGCGAAAGCUGGGUUCGACUCCCAGCCAGGGAGCG